RNAcentral lists this long non-coding RNA (789 nucleotides) under Glycine max (soybean). RNAcentral describes it as "long non-coding RNA (GMAX_LNC002970)". Lineage: Eukaryota; Viridiplantae; Streptophyta; Magnoliopsida; Fabales; Fabaceae. The record is from RNAcentral.
UUGAUGUACUGAUAGAAAUACACUAACCAAACAAAUACAUUUUCAUAUUCCAAUUCAUAUUAACAACACUCACAAUUUUUUUUAUCAAAUAACAAAAAAAUAUUAAAAAAGAAAGUUCGUGGUAUAUAUAUGAAGACACUAUCAUUUCUCAUUUGAUCAAUUAUACAUCUUUCCUAUGCUAAACUAACAUCGCCUGUAUGUAAAGGAUUGAAAUAAAAUGCCAAAUGAAUGAUGAUACACGCAAAUAUUGUUGUGAAGCUAUGAGUAUGACCAUGGCAUCAUCUCCAUAUGAAUCCGUCAAAGUUUUUGAAGGACGACACGUUGUUCAUUUGCAUGGAAUAAGAAGAAGGCAAGAGAGUAGUAGCUUCCUUUGUUCCAUUAGAGGCAGUAGCAGUAGCACCCACUAAUUUCUUUGGCUCAUGAGAAAAUCCUCUUUUUGAUGAAUAUGAUGAUUCAGCAUUUUGUCCUAUCCAAUCCGUGGAAGAGUUCUUCCCCGUGAGGCUCUGAACAACGUCUCUGAAGUUCGCAGCAUCGGUUUGCACGUACCUCGUUUCGAUUUGCACUAUCUUCGGAGCUUCCAUAUCUGAAGACUUUUCUUAAUUAUAAAUGCAGUACUAUGUAUGUGUGUGUUGUUUGAGUGUUGAGAGUUAAUGGAUGUGGAUGUGAGGGUUAUAUAGUUGCGAUAAGAAAGGUGUGGCCAAGAAAGAACGGAGCACGUAGGGUUUGACACUGACAAAAAUGUAAGUUUGACAUUUACGAGGGAGAGAAGAAGACAGAAAUGCAGUCUAA